RNAcentral lists this small nucleolar RNA (228 nucleotides) under Nakaseomyces glabratus. The record is from RNAcentral. Lineage: Eukaryota; Fungi; Ascomycota; Saccharomycetes; Saccharomycetales; Saccharomycetaceae.
AACUUUGUCCAAAAGUGUUCCCCGGCAAUAGACAGUACGUAUCAGAGUUAUUUCUUCUUUCUCUUGAUAAUCGUGAUAUGUUUGGGGAUAGAUCAAAAAAUUUUGGUGGUCUUUUAAGAACUCUAGUGGAUUCGUAUGAAUGGGUACCGCACAGUUCCUGUGUGCCAUUUAUAUCUCCCGAUCUUGUCGGGUGCAUGAGACUAGAGUGUCAGAGGACUCACGACAUUA